This 254-nucleotide ribosomal RNA is filed under the name uncultured bacterium. Its description in RNAcentral is "partial 16S ribosomal RNA". It matches the Rfam family "Bacterial small subunit ribosomal RNA", at positions 524 to 776 of the family's 1533-position model. The record is from RNAcentral.
UACGAAGGGUGCAAGCGUUAAUCGGAAUUACUGGGCGUAAAGCGUGCGUAGAUGGCAGCUUAAGUCGACUGUGAAACCCCUGGGCUCAACCUGGGACGUGCAGUCGAUACUGAGUUGCUUGGAGUUUGAGAGAGGGUGGUGGAAUUCCUGGUGUAGCGGUGAAAUGCGUAGAGAUCAGGAGGAACACUAGUGGCGAAGGCGGCCACCUGGCUUAAAACUGACGUUGAGGCACGAAAGCGUGGGGAGCAAACAGG